This 465-nucleotide ribosomal RNA is filed under the name uncultured bacterium. Its description in RNAcentral is "partial 16S ribosomal RNA". It matches the Rfam family "Bacterial small subunit ribosomal RNA", at positions 338 to 795 of the family's 1533-position model. The record is from RNAcentral.
CCUACGGGUGGCAGCAGUGGGGAAUAUUGCGCAAUGGGCGAAAGCCUGACGCAGCGACGCCGCGUGAGGGAUGAAGUUCUUCGGAUCGUAAACCUCUGUCAGCAGGGAAGAACGGUCACUGUGCUAAUCAGCAGUGAAUUGACGGUACCUGCAAAGGAAGCACCGGCUAACUCCGUGCCAGCAGCCGCGGUAAUACGGAGGGUGCGAGCGUUAAUCGGAAUUACUGGGCGUAAAGCGAGCGUAGGCGGUAUGUCAAGUCAAGGGUGAAAUCCCCGGGCUCAACUCGGGAACUGCCUUUGAAACUGGCAAACUUGAGUGUGUGAGAGGAUAGUGGAAUUCCAGGUGUAGGAGUGAAAUCCGUAGAUAUUAGGAGGAACACCGGCGGCGAAGGCGGCCUGCUGGACCGUAACUGACGUUGAGGCUCGAAAGCGUGGGGAGCAAACAGGAUUAGAUACCCUAGUAGUC